AAUCAACGCUGGCGGCGUGCCUCAGACAUGCAAGUCGAACGCGAAAGUUUCCUUCGGGAGAUGAGUAGAGUGGCGCACGGGUGAGUAACACGUAGGUAAUUUGCCUUUGGGUGGGGAAUACCAACCGGAAACGGUUGUUAAUACCGCAUAAUGCAGCGGCAUCAUAAGAUGACAGUUGUUAAAGCGGGGGAUUCGUAAGAACCUCGCGCCUAAAGAGGAGCCUGCGGCGGAUUAGGUAGNGGUGAGGUAAUGGCUCACCAAGCCUGCGAUCCGUAACCGACCUGAGAGGGUGGUCGGUCACACUGACACUGACAUACGGGUCAGACUCCUACGGGAGGCAGCAGUCGGGAAUUUUGGGCAAUGGGCGCAAGCCUGACCCAGCAACGCCGCGUGAAGGAUGAAGCAUUUCGGUGUGUAAACUUCGCAAGAACAGGAAGAAUAAGUGAAUACUAAUACCGUUCAUGAUGACGGUACUGUUUGUAAGCUCCGGCUAACUCCGUGGCAGCC
RNAcentral lists this ribosomal RNA (507 nucleotides) under uncultured bacterium. RNAcentral's name for it is "partial 16S ribosomal RNA". It matches the Rfam family "Bacterial small subunit ribosomal RNA", at positions 32 to 513 of the family's 1533-position model. The record is from RNAcentral.